Molecule: ribosomal RNA, 497 nt
Filed under: uncultured bacterium
Lineage: Bacteria
Description: partial 16S ribosomal RNA
Rfam family: Bacterial small subunit ribosomal RNA
Source: RNAcentral
GAUGAACGCUGGCGGCGUGCCUAAUACAUGCAAGUCGAGCGAACAGACGAGGAGCUUGCUCCUCUGACGUUAGCGGCGGACGGGUGAGUAACACGUGGAUAACCUACCUAUAAGACUGGGAUAACUUCGGGAAACCGGAGCUAAUACCGGAUAAUAUAUUGAACCGCAUGGUUCAAUAGUGAAAGACGGUUUUGCUGUCACUUAUAGAUGGAUCCGCCCCGCAUUAGCUAGUUGGUAAGGUAACGGCUUACCAAGGCGACGAUGCGUAGCCGACCUGAGAGGGUGAUCGGCCACACUGGAACUGAGACACGGUCCAGACUCCUACGGGAGGCAGCAGUAGGGACUCUUCCGCAAUGGGCGAAAGCCUGACGGAGCAACGCCGCGUGAGUGAUGAAGGUCUUCGGAUCGUAAAACUCUGUUAUUAGGGAAGAACAAAUGUGUAAGUAACUAUGCACGUCUUGACGGUACCUAAUCAGAAAGCCACGGCUAACUACGUG